GCGACCGGAUGCGGAUCUCGAAAGCCUGUCCCAGUUCGGACUGGAGUCUGCAACCCGACUCCACGAAGUUGGAUUCGCUAGUAAUCGCGCAUCAGCCAUGGCGCGGUGAAUACGUUCCCGGGCCUUGUACACACCGCCCGUCAAGCCAUGGGAGCCGGGGGCGCCUGAAGUCCGGGACCGCGAGGACCGGCCUAGGGCGAAACUGGUAACUGGGGCUAAGUCGUAACAAGGUAUC
RNAcentral lists this ribosomal RNA (235 nucleotides) under uncultured bacterium. RNAcentral's name for it is "partial 16S ribosomal RNA". It matches the Rfam family "Bacterial small subunit ribosomal RNA", at positions 1257 to 1500 of the family's 1533-position model. The record is from RNAcentral.